UUCUUUUUUUCGUUUUUUUUU
This 21-nucleotide small RNA is filed under the name Arabidopsis thaliana (thale cress). Its description in RNAcentral is "ATSL066810". The record is from RNAcentral. Lineage: Eukaryota; Viridiplantae; Streptophyta; Magnoliopsida; Brassicales; Brassicaceae.